UACAUGAUUACGAAUUCGAGCUCGGUACCCGGGGAUCCUCUAGAGAUUAGAGUUUGAUCCUGGCUCAGGACGAACGCUGGCGACGUGCUUAACACAUGCAAGUCGAGCGGUAAGGCCUUUCGGGGUACACGAGCGGCGAACGAGUGAGUAACACGUGGGUGAUCUGCCCUGCACUCUGGGAUAAGCUUGGGAAACUGGGUCUAAUACCGGAUAUGACUACAGCAUCCAUGUUUUGUGGUGGAAAGAUUUAUCGGUGCAGGAUGCGCCCGCGGCCUAUCAGCUUGUUGGUGGCGUAAUGGCCUACCAAGGCUCGAACGGGUAGCCGACCUGAGAGGGUGACCGGCCACACUGCGACUGAGACACGGCCCAGACUCCUACGGGAGGCAGCAGUGGGGAAUAUUGCACAAUGGGCUGAAGCCUGAUGCAGCGACGCCGCGUGAGGGAUGAAGGCCUUCGGGUUGUAAACCUCUUUCAUCAGGGACGAAGCGUGAGUGACGGUACCUGCAGAAGAAGCACCGGCUAACUACGUUGCCAGCAGCCGCGGUAAUACGUUAAGGUGCGAGCGUUAUCCCGGAAUUACUGGGCGUUAAGAAUUCGUAGGCGGUAUGUCGCGUCGUUUGUGAAAACCCGGGGCUCAACUUCGGGCUUGCAGGUGAUACGGGCGGACUUGAGUGUUUCAGCGGACACUGGAAUUCCUGUGUAGCGGUGAAAUGCGCAGAUAUCAGGAGGAACACCGGUGGCGAAGGCGGGUCUCUGGGAAACAACUGACGCUGAGGAACGAAAGCGUGGGUAGCAAACAGGAUUAGAUACCCUGGUAGUCCACGCCGUAAACGGUGGGCGCUAGGUGUGGGUUCCUUCCACGGGAUCUGUGCCGUAGCUAACGCAGUAAGCGCCGCGCCUGUGGAGUACGGCCGCAAGGCUAAAACUCAAAGGAAUUGACGGCGGCCCGCACAAGCGGCGGAGCAUGUGGAUUAAUUCGAUGCAACGCGAAGAACUUACCUGGGUUUGACAUACACCGGAGAACCGUAAAGAUACCGUCCCCCUUGUGGUCCGUGUACAGGUGGUGCAUGGCUGUCGUCAGCUCGUGUCGUGAGAUGUUGGGGUUAAGUCCCGCAACGAGCGCACCCCUUGUCUUAGUGUUCCAGCGCGUUAUUGGCGGGGACUCGUAAGAGACUGCCGGGGUCAACUCGGAGGAAGGUGGGGACGACGUCAAGUCAUCAUGCCCCUUAUGUCCAGGGCUUCACACAUGCUACAAUGGCCAGUACAGAGGGCUGCGAGACGGUGAGGUGGAGCGAAUCCCUUAAAGCUGGUCUCAGUUCGGAUCGCGGUCUGCAACUCGAGCCCGUGAAGUCGGAGUCGCUAGUAAUCGCAGAUCAGCAACGCUGCCGUGAAUACGUUCCCGCGCCUUGUACACACCGGCCGUCACGUCAUGAAAGUCGGUAACACCCGAAGGCGGUGCGCUAACCCCUUGUGGGAGCGAGCCGUCGAAGGUGGGAUCGGCGAUUGUGACGUUAUCGUAACCAAGGUAACCAAUCGUCGACCUGCAGGCAUGCAAGCUUGGCAUCUGA
This 1568-nucleotide ribosomal RNA is filed under the name Rhodococcus sp. AM6. Its description in RNAcentral is "partial 16S ribosomal RNA". It matches the Rfam family "Bacterial small subunit ribosomal RNA". Lineage: Bacteria; Bacillati; Actinomycetota; Actinomycetes; Mycobacteriales; Nocardiaceae. The record is from RNAcentral.